UACGUAGGGGGCAAGCGUUAUCCGGAAUGAUUGGGCGUAAAGCGUCUGUAGGUGGCUUUUUAAGUCCGCCGUCAAAUCCCAGGGCUCAACUCUGGACAGGCGGUGGAAACUACCAAGCUGGAGUACGGUAGGGGCAAAGGGAAUUUCCGGUGGAGCGGUGAAAUGCGUAGAGAUCGGAAAGAACACCAAUGGCGAAGGCAGCUCUCUGGGACGGUACUGACGCUGAGACGCGAAAGCGUGGGGAGCGAACAGG
Molecule: ribosomal RNA, 253 nt
Filed under: uncultured bacterium
Lineage: Bacteria
Description: partial 16S ribosomal RNA
Rfam family: Bacterial small subunit ribosomal RNA
Source: RNAcentral